This is a long non-coding RNA of Portunus trituberculatus (swimming crab), 968 nucleotides long. RefSeq lists it as uncharacterized. NCBI's taxonomy places the organism in Eukaryota, Metazoa, Arthropoda, Malacostraca, Decapoda, Portunidae. The record is from RefSeq and is a predicted model, not a curated record. The transcript has 2 exons.
AUUCGUGAGAUGGGCGGAAGGACAGUAGUGUUAGCUCGUCCAAUUGUCAGUCUGCCGUGGCCGGAGUGAGAGACAAGAAGGCUGGGCUUGAUUGGUAUGGGCUGGGAUGGGCUGGCUGGCGGUGCUGUCCUCAUGCUGCUCAGUAUUAGGCGAAGCGUUUUCUUCACAUGGACUCAUCAAUCAAUCACGCAUGAGACGGUGGAGAGAAACACGCUGCCCAGCCUCUUGGAAUACUAACACCAGAAGUCCGACGCUAAGCUGGUCAUAAACAUCUUUCAAAUAAUUACCAUCGCGUUUUGAAUCUAAGAGGGAUGCCUCACACUUACGAGAGUCAAUUGUGUGAUGACAGCUCGCCAAACUCAGUGACCACAGCAAAUCCUCCACUCAGACUACCUUUCUGUAGUAACUCGAUGUGUCUGAAAAUGCAGGAGCAGUCAGACUUUACCACAAUAUUGCCAUGUACGGUCUUUCCGGAGCUUGUCCAUAGAUGACAGUGAGUCACCGUUGUUGCUGAAUUUCUAAAUAUAUCAUUAAGUAAUACAUUCUUGCUGGAAAAUAUAUCACUGUCUUAGAUACUUUGACCGAUACUACUUGUUAACAUGUAAAUAACUAAAUAUAAAAAAAGAAGAAAACUUAUGUACAAGCAUGUGACUUUAACUGUAACAUUCAAUUCACCGCAAUAUUCAACAGCUGACUUUUGUCUGUUUGGAGGCAGAAGACAGUAAAACAAACUGAUGUCUAAAGAAGGUAUUUUCUAAUAUUUGGCUAGUAAGAGUAUGUUUAACAUGCAUAUUCAUUAUCAUAACCAUCUAAUUCAGUUUCCAUUUGGGUGAAGCGUAAUGACAACAAACUGCGGUAUAAAAUCCACGCCGAAAAUAGCAUUCAAUAAAUACCGUUUAAUAUACAUACAAGGAACGAAUUUGUAAACUAUUUGGCCUCUCACAAGGACUUUAAUAAAGGACACAGCG